AGCAUAUCAAUAAGCGGAGGAAAAGAAACCAACAGGGAUUGCCCUAGUAACGGCGAGUGAAGCGGCAACAGCUCAAAUUUGAAAUCUGGCUCUUUUAGAGUCCGAGUUGUAAUUUGCAGAGGGCGCUUUGGCGUUGGCAGCGGUCCAAGUUCUUUGGAACAGGACGUCACAGAGGGUGAGAAUCCCGUACGUGGUCGCUAUCCUUCGCCGUGUAAAGCCCCUUCGACGAGUCGAGUUGUUUGGGAAUGCAGCUCUAAAUGGGAGGUAAAUUUCUUCUAAAGCUAAAUACUGGCCAGAGACCGAUAGCGCACAAGUAGAGUGAUCGAAAGAUGAAAAGCACUUUGGAAAGAGAGUCAAAUAGCACGUGAAAUUGUUGAAAGGGAAGCGCUUGCAGCCAGACUUGCCUGUAGUUGCUUAUCCGGACUUUUGUCCGGUGCACUCUUCUAUAGGCAGGCCAGCAUCAGUUUAGGCGGUUAGAUAAAGGUCUCUGUCACGUACCUCUCUUCGGGGAGGCCUUAUAGGGGAGACGACAUGUAACCAGCUUAGACUGAGGUCCGCGCAUUUUGCUAGGAUGCUGGCGUAAUGGCUGUAAGCGGCCCGUCUUGAAACACGGACCAAGGAGUCUAACAUCUAUGCGAGUGUUUGGGUGUCAAGCCCAGACGCGUAAUGAAAGUGAACGGAGGUAGGAACCCUUUGGGUGCACUAUCGACCGAUCCUGAUGUCUUCGGAAGGAUUUGAGUAAGAGCAUGGCUGUUGGGACCCGAAAGAUGGUGAACUAUGCUUGAAUAGGGUGAAGCCAGAGGAAACUCUGGUGGAGGCUCGCAGCGGUUCUGACGUGCAAAUCGAUCGUCAAAUUUGGGCAUAGGGGCGAAAGACUAAU
This 880-nucleotide ribosomal RNA is filed under the name Pseudoophiobolus urticicola. RNAcentral describes it as "eukaryotic LSU rRNA". It matches the Rfam family "Eukaryotic large subunit ribosomal RNA", at positions 37 to 935 of the family's 3401-position model. The record is from RNAcentral. Lineage: Eukaryota; Fungi; Ascomycota; Dothideomycetes; Pleosporales; Phaeosphaeriaceae.